GACGAACGCUGGCGGCGUGCUUAACACAUGCAAGUCGAGCGAUGAAGUUACUUCGGUAAUGAAUUAGCGGCGAACGGGUGAGGAACACGUGAGGAAUCUGCCAUUCACUCUGGGAUAACACCGGGAAACCGGUGCUAAUACCGGGUAUAUAAAUUUUGCGGCAUCGCAGAAUUUAGAAAGUUUUUCGGUGAAUGAUGACCUCGCGGCCUAUCAGCUUGUUGGUGGGGUAAUGGCUCACCAAGGCGACGACGGGUAGCCGGCCUGAGAGGGCGACCGGCCACACUGGGACUGAGACACGGCCCAGACUCCUACGGGAGGCAGCAGUGGGGAAUAUUGGGCAAUGGAGGAAACUCUGACCCAGCGACGCCGCGUGAGGGAUGAAGGCCUUCGGGUUGUAAACCUCUUUCAGCACCGACGAAGCGCAAGUGACGGUAGGUGCAGAAGAAGGACCGGCCAACUACGUGCCAGCCGCCGCCGUAA
Molecule: ribosomal RNA, 480 nt
Filed under: uncultured bacterium
Lineage: Bacteria
Description: partial 16S ribosomal RNA
Rfam family: Bacterial small subunit ribosomal RNA
Source: RNAcentral